AAUACCUUCCUAUACACAGGUGAAAGCAAAAAUUGUAGCCAAGACAAACAUUCCAGUAGGCUGCUCAGCAGCCAAAAAAAAAAAAAAAUAGAAACAGCAGCAUUUGAGAACCUGAAAAUCAGCAGUCUCACCUUCGGAAUCUACAGCAACGGUAUCCAUGACAACCAUAAAUAAAUUGUUCCUUAGGUUGUCUAUAGCCUCAGCGUUAAUCCACUGCAAUUCAUGGGAUCAUUGCACACCACUUUUGGCUAAAGCAUCAACAUUGCCAUUCGAGGAACGCGGAACGUAUCAUAUUUGCCAUUGCUGAACAUGGUCAAGAGCUUUCAUAAUCUGCAUGACUAGUUUUCUUAAUCUUCAGGGGGACAUUGUGGGGAUUGUGGAUCCAUUUAACAACAUUAAGGGAGUCACAUUAUGGGACCUUACUGCCCAGGUUUUCUUAAGCCGCUCUAGUCCUCUAAGAUUCCAAAAAAUAACUAUGGGAAAAGCCACUUACACAAAGAUAAAUAGGUGACACCAAACACAAAGGAAAUAAUAUGGAAAAUCAUAUGUAACCACAUACCUCAAGAAGUGUUGGAAUUCAAUCUCAUGCUCAAACAUGAAAAUAAUUAAUAAAUUAAAAUAAUAUAACACAGUGAAAAAAUAAAUUAAUAUUUAAUCAGAGAAACAGUCGAAUCUUACAAGAUCAAUAUUUGUGUUUUUCAUGUAACUUUCAAAUUAAUUAUGAACACUCAUAAGUUUAAGAGUUACAUAAUUUGCUCUAAAUAUCGUAAUCAAAAGUCAAUUAAAUUAAAAUAUUUACUUCUUCACCUUUAAGAUUUAUCAAAUUUUCAGCUACCCAAGUGUUUGGCCUCUAACAGUAAUCCACACAGUGACCGAAU
RNAcentral lists this long non-coding RNA (878 nucleotides) under Theobroma cacao (cacao). RNAcentral describes it as "long non-coding RNA (TCAC_LNC005632)". Lineage: Eukaryota; Viridiplantae; Streptophyta; Magnoliopsida; Malvales; Malvaceae. The record is from RNAcentral.